GAGAGAGAGCGAGCGAGGAGAGAGCGAGCGAGCGAGAGAGAGCGAGCGAGGAGAGAGAGAGCGAGAGAGAGAGGGAGCAGGGAGAGCGAGCGAGGAGAAAGAGCGAGGAGAGUGAGAGAGGGAGAGUGAGCGAGGAGAGAGAGGGAGGGAGGGGAGAGAGAGGGAGGAGAGAGAGAGCGAGCGAGGAGAGAGCGAGCGAGGAGAGAGGAGAGAGCGAGGGAGAGGGAGAGAGAGGAAGAGAGAGAGGAGAGAGCGAGCCAACGAGGAGAGAGAGCGAGCCAACGAGGAGAGAGAGCGAGCGAGGAGAGAGCGAGCCAACGAGGAGAGAGAGAGAGCGGAGGGAGCGAGGAGAGAGCGAGCGAGGAGAGAGCGAGCGAGGAGAGAGCGAGCGAGGAGAGAGCGAGCGAGGAGAGAGCGAGCGAGGAGAGAGAGGGAGACGAGGAGAGAGAGGAAGAGAGAGAGGAGAGAGCGAGCCAACGAGGAGAGAGAGCGAGCCAACGAGGAGAGAGAGCGAGGAGAGAGCGAGCGAGGAGAGAGCGAGCGAGGAGAGAACAAGCGAGGAGAGAGCGAGCGAGGAGAGAGAGGGAGAGUGAGCGAGGGAGAGUGAGCGAGGAGAGAGGGGGAGGGGAGAGAGAGGGAGGAGAGAGAGCGAGCGAGGAGAGAGAGCGAGGAGAGAGAGAGCGAGGAGAGAGAGCGAGCGAGGAGAGAGAGCGAGCAGGGAGAGAGCGAGCAGGGAGAGAGCGAGAAAAGAGAGAGCGAGGAGAGAGAGAGCGGGGAGAGAGAGAGCGAGGAGAGAGCGAGCGAGGAGAGAGAGCGAGCAGGGAGAGAGCGAGGAGGGAGAGCGCGAGUGAGGAAAGUGGCUAAGUUGUGAUUCCCUCCCCUUCUCCUGGUUGCAGGGGCGGCAAUCCCGGGGGGGACGGGGGACACACGACCCCCCCAUCCUGGGAAAAAUAUGAUAUCACUGAAACAUAACUAUGUAAUUUAAAUAAUAUUAAUAAUACGCAAUGAAAGCAAUUGUGCUGAUUAUAGACACUUAAUAGCGCGUUUUUAAGUUUCAAAAGAUUGCGAUCCCCCCAUCCUUUGCCUCACAAUGGUUUGAUCCACUGCCAGUUCCUUAGUUGGCAAGGUAACAGAGGGGUCGUAUCUACUGUCUGAAAGGCACUCAAUGAACGUAACUGACGUGAGGUUAAUCCAGUCAAUCGCGCACACACACUAGCUGAAUAUGCAGAGCUAGCGCGCAAAUAUUAACUAUUAAGCUAGCUAGUACCUAUUCCAUUUAUGUGGCGUCGUCAAAGAUGGAAUCUUUGCUAUCGUCAAUUUAUUCCAAGAUCAGCAUGCAGAUGAUGUAAGUUAGUGCUUCAAAGUCCCUGUGAUAAGGUUAGCGAUAAACUGAAAUCCAAACUGAACAGAACUACACUCUCUUCUACCAUUGUCUUAAAUAUAUUUAAUGGUCUCGUUGCAAAAGCUAAAUUGUCGCAAGGGAACUUUUAUUUAUUUAUUUUAUUUCACCUUUAUUUAACCCGGGUAGCAAAGAUUAUAGCAAACACCACUGAAACUGAAUUGGUGCUCGCUAGCUUUGCAAAUUCAGCUAUUGUUGGAAGCCAGCCAAUAUGAAACAAACUAUUAAAAUUACAAAAGGUUGCAGCAUAUGUUGUGUAAAUGGUGAACUCAUACAGCUGUCAACUCUUGUCAUUUUAAUCCGUUUCACAUUUGCUAGCUACCUUUUAGAUUGAAGCCCAAAUAGAAUGAUUGAAGAUGAUAGAGGCCCAUCUCCUACUGUAAAUAACCUACACACUGUGUGUGUAGCCAGCCAGCCAGCCAGGUAGAAAAAUGGCAGAAAAAUAAAAGACGGACAUCAGAGUAUUUUUCAAUACACCAAAACGCAUAGUAAAAACCUAGUAGCCUAAUAUCUCAAAGACUAGUUGAUAAAAUGUUCAUAAGAAAGAAAUUAAAUUGUAAUGGAAAUGUUUCACAAUGAUGUCAUUAGGCAGAGCAGGCAACAGAUGGCACACAGACAGCAGAGUUGGGGACAGAUAUGCAGGGACAGACUGGCAGAGACAGGGAGUCUCAGGUGAAAUCAACAACAGAAUGUCACCGUGUCAUUGGAUGAAAUCAACAACAGAAUGUCACCGUGUCAUCGGAUGAAAUCAACAACAGAAUGUCACCGUGUCAUCGGAUGAAAUCAAGAACAGAAUGUCACCGUGUCAUUGGAUGAAAUCAAGAACAGAAUGUCACCGUGUCAUUGGAUGAAAUCAACAACAGAAUGUCACCGUGUCAUUGGAUGAAAUCAACAACAGAAUGUCACCGUGUCAUUGGAUGAAAUCAACAACAGAAUGUCACCGUGUCAUUGGAUGAAAUCAACAACAGAAUGUCACCGUGUCAUUGGAUGAAAUAAACAACAGAAUGUCACCGUGUCAUUGGAUGAAAUAAACAACAGAAUGUCAUCAUGUAUUUAGGUUACAAGUUGUGUGAAUAAAAGAUUCCCUGACUUUUUCACAUCCAAUCAGUUUUCCAUGUUGAUUCAAUGUCAUCACGGUUUGGGUUGCCCAGGGGUGUGUGUGUGUGUGUGUGUAUACACAGGGGUUACAUGAGGAGAGGUUUCAG
Molecule: long non-coding RNA, 2604 nt
Filed under: Salmo salar (Atlantic salmon)
Lineage: Eukaryota; Metazoa; Chordata; Actinopteri; Salmoniformes; Salmonidae
Description: lncRNA (ENSSSAG00000118335.1)
Source: RNAcentral